Molecule: long non-coding RNA, 1141 nt
Filed under: Homo sapiens (human)
Lineage: Eukaryota; Metazoa; Chordata; Mammalia; Primates; Hominidae
Description: HSALNT0374745
Source: RNAcentral
AGCAGUCCUCCUGCCUCGGCCUCCCAAAGUCCUGGGAUUACAGGUAUGAGACACUGUGCUGGGCCCCUGUCAAUUUUGGAAGGAUCCAGUUGUGUUUCUUCAUUCAUUUAACACAUAUUUGUAGAAAGCAAAUCCGUGCCAGGCAUAGAUGCUUGAGAUUCAUUAGCCAACGAAACAGAAAACAACCUGUGACCUCAUGGAGCCUCCAUCCCUAGCGGGACGGGUACAGCAGGGGCUUCACCCAGAGAGGCUUCCUGUGAAAACGCCCACUGGGUCCUGGGGAACUGGGAAUCCCCGGCCGCUUCUGCACAGGGCUCCUGGGUGGUUUCCUGUUUCGGCUCCACAGCCGGGGGAAGUUUCUGCUGUUUGCUCCUCUGCACUCUAAGCGGAGAUGUGCACACUCGCGAGCAGGGAUUUUUCUGGUUCAGGAAAGUCCUGCGUCCUUGGGCGCACUUUCACAAGUGUGAGAAAGCCAGUUCAAAUGUGACUUCCCGUGAGAAACCCUGCCUGGCCUCCCGCCCUCCCCGGCACUCUCAGCAUGAAUCAUGCUGCGUUGUCACUAUUGUCUUGCUCAUCUGUGCCUGUCGCAUUCCCUGAGUUCCUCCUGGCGGGGUCUCGGCCUUGUUCAUCUUUGGACCUGGUGGCCAGCACAGAGAAUGUGCUCAAUGAAUGUUUGCUGGAUUGAAUGACACACCCUCAGGUCCAAGUGGGCCAUGCCCCUCUGCCUGCAGCCUGGUGGCCGUCAGGGUCAGGGCUCCCAUGCUUUCUGAUACCCGGGAGGAUGGGUCUCUGACCAUGGGAUUUUGAAAUAGCAAUGAGCCUGAAUAACAUUUUGAGAUACUGGCAACAACGAAAGUGUGGAAUGAAACUUCCCGUUAUUUCUGCUGGCUAACACUAAGUGGUUGCCACCUAUGUUCAUAAUACAAGGAACUGCUCAGUUUCAACCAGAGACAAGGAGGCUCUGUCCAAGCUCCUGUCCUGGCUCGCUCAGCCCAGCCUUCAGGUUCUCAGCCCAACACGAGGGUCUCCUUGGGUAGUCAGCUCAAUCAUUUCAAGCUAUUAAUCAACGGACUUCUCCUGAAUGCAUCCAGACCUCUCCUCAAGGCUCUUGCUCCGUCGCCCAGGCUGAAGUGCAGUGGAG